GCCUCAUGCGCAGAUCCCAGCCCUACGGUCAUUUUGGGUUUACUUUUGUUGACUUUUUGAUGGUUUAUACACCUGAAAUCUAUCCUUAAUAAUUUUUCGCAUAGAAUCCGUUUCCGGUGUUAGUUUUUGGAGAUUAUGCUUGGAUGAUACUGUUAGGUAUGAAAUGACAAUACUUUGUUAAUUGGAUAAUAACUUAGUAUAUGUAAUUGAGUUGGAAUUGAUGAAUUGAUCGUUGAUAUAUGAUAUGUAAUUGAAUGUAUG
RNAcentral lists this long non-coding RNA (261 nucleotides) under Trifolium pratense (red clover). RNAcentral's name for it is "long non-coding RNA (TPRA_LNC010934)". The record is from RNAcentral. Lineage: Eukaryota; Viridiplantae; Streptophyta; Magnoliopsida; Fabales; Fabaceae.